AUGAUCAUCUUGCAUUCCGAGUUAUUCCUUACAUUAUGUAUCCUAUGUCGGAAUUUUACCAUCCUGACUAAAUCAUUGUCUUGUUCACCUAGGAUGGUCAACACGCGCGCUAACCCUGCUUCCCAAGAGCAGGCCGAGGGCAGUGAAGGCAGGAAUGAAAAUCUGCCUCAUCCUCCUUCACUAGCCGAGGUUAUGAUGGAAGCUGAGAGAAACAAGCGGGAGACCAACCGUUUAUUGGAGCGUAUUGAACAGAAUACAGCACACCAUCAGAGGGCUAACGUGGUGUCACUCGGUGAUUUUAUCAAAUUGCAUCCACCCACGUUCCAUCACUCCGUCGAGCCUCUCGACGCUGAUGACUGG
This 360-nucleotide ribosomal RNA is filed under the name Triticum aestivum (bread wheat). RNAcentral's name for it is "partial small subunit ribosomal RNA". Lineage: Eukaryota; Viridiplantae; Streptophyta; Magnoliopsida; Poales; Poaceae. The record is from RNAcentral.